UAGGGAAUAUUGCGCAAUGAGCGAAAGCUUGACGCAGCCAUGCCGCGUGGAUGACGAAGGCCUUCGGGUCGUAAAGUCCUUUUCUGAGGGAAGAACUGAUUGGGGAGUGGAAAACCCCGGUUUUGACGGUACCUCAGGAAUAAGCAACGGCUAACUCCGUGCCAGCAGCCGCGGUAAUACGGAGGUUGCAAGCGUUGUUCGGAUUUACUGGGCGUAAAGGGAGCGCAGGCGGCCAAGUUAGUCCAAAGUGAAAUCCCGGGGCUCAACCUCGGACGUGCUUUGGAUACUGCUUGGCUUGAGUACGUGAGAGGUAAGCGGAAUUCCAGGUGUAGCGGUGAAAUGCGUAGAUAUCUGGAGGAACACCGGUGGCGAAAGCGGCUUACUGGCACGAGACUGACGCUGAGGCUCGAAAGCGUGGGGAGCGGAACGGGAUUAGGAUACCCCGGUAGUCCACGCCGUAAACGUUGUGCACUAGGUGUGGGAGGUA
Molecule: ribosomal RNA, 487 nt
Filed under: uncultured bacterium
Lineage: Bacteria
Description: bacterial SSU rRNA
Rfam family: Bacterial small subunit ribosomal RNA
Source: RNAcentral